RNAcentral lists this long non-coding RNA (617 nucleotides) under Salvator merianae (Argentine black and white tegu). RNAcentral's name for it is "lncRNA (ENSSMRG00000017935.1)". Lineage: Eukaryota; Metazoa; Chordata; Lepidosauria; Squamata; Teiidae. The record is from RNAcentral.
GCUUCUGAAUUAAAGAUGGACGAUGCAGCAGACUACAAAGUGUUUCCCGCCUCUCCCCUCCCCUCCCCUCCCCUCCCCUCCUCCUUUUGCGGCACCCAAACCCAGCUGAGAACGGUCCCUCAGCCCCUUCGUCGCUAAAUGGGCAGCAGGCUGCAGGGGCAGGUUUACAUGCAAGAACGUGGUAGGUGGGUGGGAGCAGAAAAGCCAUGGCAUUGUCACAGUCUUCAGUGAGAAGGGGGAACUGGACUUCUCUCGAACCUGAGCUCAGCAAUGUUGCGAAGAUCAGCAUUCAGAAUCUCUCUCUGUUGGGCUAGGAAUCCGUAAACAAAGAUAAACGAAAACGAUGACAGUGAUGGUAACGAAUGGAAAUUGCUUCCUGAAAUUCACAGAAUGACAACCAAACCCUGGCUGAACCAAAACAAGAUUCACUAUCCUUUUAGGGCCAAAUACCUGGAAGCUGAAUGUGAAACAGCAAUCAAAUUGUGGAUUAAGGAUGAUCUAUUGCGGACAGACUUAACAUUCAAUAAAAGCACUACAGGUGUAGUCAGUGCAAUGGGACCCAGCCCAUUAUCUUGUAUACUGACAGAGCACCUCACUACAGUAAAAUGAGCCAUGGC